CUUAAGCUCUUGUAAAACCUAUAUGGUGUUUCUGUAACGAAUGCAAGUUUAACUUAUUUAUAUAUAUAUGAAAGAUGUUUAUAAAAUGUGUGGGUGUGUGUGGGUUUCAUAUGGUACUUGGUCUUGGUCAGGGACGUACUAACUAUUGAUAGUGAUCCGGGUUGGCCGGCCUUGGGUUACAUUUAAUAGGGAUGCAUGCUCUAGUAUUCGGCCUAGGGAUCUAGAAUGUGUUUCGGGAACCUUGGGCUGAAUGUUUGGGUACGUAUCACUGGCAUCUUCGGUCUGGUUUGGGUUUAAGUGAUUGGUCGUGCAUGUUCUUAUUUGAUUGUUGCACGACUGAUCAAGUCAACUUUGACCUAGACCGGAUCGGGGGUGUUACAAUUGGGGGCAUUCAUAUUUCAUAGUCAGAGGUGAAAUUCGUGGAUUUAUGACAGACGAACAACUGCGAAAGCAUUUGCCAAAGAUAUUUUGAUCAAUUAAGAACGAAAGUUGGGGGCUCGAAGACGAUCAGAUGCUGUCCUUGUCUCAACCAUAAACGAUGCCAACCAGGGAUCAGUGGAUUUUAUAUUUAGGACUCCUCUGGUACCUUAUGUGAGAUCAUAGUUUUUGGGUUCCGGGGGACUAUGGUUGCAAGGCUGAAACUUACAGGAAAUAGCGAAAGGGCACCAACAGGAUUGGAGCCUGUGGCUUAUUUUGACUCAACACGACGAAACUUACCAUGGCCAGCCAUAGUAAGGAUUGAGAGACUGGGAGCUCUUUCUUGAUUCUAUGGGUGGUGGUGCAUGGCCGUUCUUAGUUGGUGGACUGAUUUUUCCGGUCAAUUCCGUUGACGAACGAGACUUCAGCCUGCUAACUAGAAUCCCUUCAUGGCCGUCUUAGACGGACUAUGGCCGUUUAGGCCAAGGAAGUUUGUGGUAAUAACAGGUCUGUGAUACCCUUCGAUGUUCUGGGCCGCACAAGCGCUACACUGAUGUAUUCAACGAGUUCACACCUUGGCCGACAGGCUCGAGUAAACAUUGAAAUUUCAUCAUGAUGGAAAUAGAUCGUUGCAAUUGUUGGUAUUCAACGAGGAAUUCAUAGUAAGCGUGAGUCAUCAGCUCGCGUUGACUUUGUCCUUGCCCUUUGUACACACCGCCCGUCGCUCCUACCGAUUUAAUGUUCCUGUGAAGUGUUUGGAUCGCGGUGAUGUGGGUGGUUCGCCAUCUACGACGUCGCGAGGAGUCCAGAAAACGUUAUCAUUUAGAGGAAGGAGAAGUCGUAACAAGGUUUCUGUAGGUGAACCUGCGGAAG
Molecule: ribosomal RNA, 1290 nt
Filed under: Iljinskaea planisiliqua
Lineage: Eukaryota; Viridiplantae; Streptophyta; Magnoliopsida; Brassicales; Brassicaceae
Description: SSU rRNA
Rfam family: Eukaryotic small subunit ribosomal RNA
Source: RNAcentral